This 76-nucleotide transfer RNA is filed under the name Actinomycetes bacterium. Its description in RNAcentral is "Actinobacteria bacterium tRNA-Thr". It matches the Rfam family "tRNA". From Rfam's summary of the family: Transfer RNA (tRNA) molecules are approximately 80 nucleotides in length. Their secondary structure includes four short double-helical elements and three loops (D, anti-codon, and T loops). Further hydrogen bonds mediate the characteristic L-shaped molecular structure. tRNAs have two regions of fundamental functional importance: the anti-codon, which is responsible for specific mRNA codon recognition, and the 3' end, to which the tRNAs corresponding amino acid is attached (by aminoacyl-tRNA synthetases). tRNAs cope with the degeneracy of the genetic code in two manners: having more than one tRNA (with a specific anti-codon) for a particular amino acid; and 'wobble' base-pairing, i.e. permitting non-standard base-pairing at the 3rd anti-codon position. Lineage: Bacteria; Bacillati; Actinomycetota; Actinomycetes. The record is from RNAcentral.
GCCGGAGUAGCUCAGCUGGUAGAGCAACGCACUUGUAAUGCGUAGGUCGUGGGUUCGAGUCCCUCCUCCGGCUCCU